AGAGUUUGANCCUNGCUCAGAAUCAACGCUGGCGGCGUGCCUAACACAUGCNAGUCGCACGAGAAAGGGUAGCAAUACCUGAGUACAGUGGCGCACGGGUGAGUAACACGUGAAUCAUCUACCUUCGAGUGGGGAAUAACUGGGAGAAAUCUCAGCUAAUACCGCAUAAUACCUACGGGUCAAAGCAGCAAUGCGCUUGAAGAGGAGUUCGCGGCAGAUUAGUUAGUUGGCGGGGUAAUGGCCCACCAAGACGAUGAUCUGUAUCCGGCCUGAGAGGGCGCACGGACACACUGGAACUGAAACACGGUCCAGACUCCUACGGGAGGCAGCAGUGGGGAAUUUUGCGCAAUGGGGGAAACCCUGACGCAGCAACGCCGCGUGGAGGAUGAAAUCCCUUGGGAUGUAAACUCCUUUCGAUUGGGAAGAUUAUGACGGUACCAAUAGAAGAAGCCCCGGCUAACUUCGUGCCAGCAGCCGCGGUAAUACGAGGGGGGCAAGCGUUGUUCGGAAUUAUUGGGCGUAAAGGGCGCGUAGGCGGUUUGACAAGUCUUAUGUGAAAUCUCUGGGCUCAACCCAGAGUCUGCAUGGGAAACUGUCGGGCUUGAGUAUGGGAGAGGUGAGUGGAAUUUCCGGUGUAGCGGUGAAAUGCGUAGAUAUCGGAAGGAACACCUGUGGCGAAAGCGGCUCACUGGACCAUAACUGACGCUGAGGCGCGAAAGCUAGGGGAGCAAACAGGAUUAGAUACCCUGG
This 750-nucleotide ribosomal RNA is filed under the name uncultured Rhizobium sp. RNAcentral's name for it is "bacterial SSU rRNA". It matches the Rfam family "Bacterial small subunit ribosomal RNA", at positions 8 to 790 of the family's 1533-position model. Lineage: Bacteria; Pseudomonadati; Pseudomonadota; Alphaproteobacteria; Hyphomicrobiales; Rhizobiaceae. The record is from RNAcentral.